GCCUCCCUCUCUCUUCGCGCUUAACACAUGCAAGUCGAACGGAAAGGCCCUGCUUUUGUGGGGUGCUCGAGUGGCGAACGGGUGAGUAACACGUGAGUAACCUGCCCUUGACUUUGGGAUAACUUCAGGAAACUGGGGCUAAUACCGGAUAGGAGCUCCUGCUGCAUGGUGGGGGUUGGAAAGUUUCGGCGGUUGGGGAUGGACUCGCGGCUUAUCAGCUUGUUGGUGGGGUAGUGGCUUACCAAGGCUUUGACGGGUAGCCGGCCUGAGAGGGUGACCGGCCACAUUGGGACUGAGAUACGGCCCAGACUCCUACGGGAGGCAGCAGUGGGGAAUAUUGCACAAUGGGCGGAAGCCUGAUGCAGCAACGCCGCGUGCGGGAUGACGGCCUUCGGGUUGUAAACCGCUUUCGCCUGUGACGAAGCGUGAGUGACGGUAAUGGGUAAAGAAGCACCGGCUAACUACGUG
This 468-nucleotide ribosomal RNA is filed under the name uncultured bacterium. Its description in RNAcentral is "partial 16S ribosomal RNA". It matches the Rfam family "Bacterial small subunit ribosomal RNA", at positions 36 to 507 of the family's 1533-position model. The record is from RNAcentral.